GGUGAGUAACACGUGGGUAACCUGCCUGUAAGACUGGGAUAACUCCGGGAAACCGGGGCUAAUACCGGAUGGUUGUCUGAACCGCAUGGUUCAGACAUAAAAGGUGGCUUCGGCUACCACUUACAGAUGGACCCGCGGCGCAUUAGCUAGUUGGUGAGGUAACGGCUCACCAAGGCGACGAUGCGUAGCCGACCUGAGAGGGUGAUCGGCCACACUGGGACUGAGACACGGCCCAGACUCCUACGGGAGGCAGCAGUAGGGAAUCUUCCGCAAUGGACGAAAGUCUGACGGAGCAACGCCGCGUGAGUGAUGAAGGUUUUCGGAUCGUAAAGCUCUGUUGUUAGGGAAGAACAAGUGCCGUUCAAAUAGGGCGGCACCUUGACGGUACCUAACCAGAAAGCCACGGCUAACUACGUGCCAGCAGCCGCGGUAAUACGUAGGUGGCAAGCGUUGUCCGGAAUUAUUGGGCGUAAAGGGCUCGCAGGCGGUUUCUUAAGUCUGAUGUGAAAGCCCCCGGCUCAACCGGGGAGGGUCAUUGGAAACUGGGGAACUUGAGUGCAGAAGAGGAGAGUGGAAUUCCACGUGUAGCGGUGAAAUGCGUAGAGAUGUGGAGGAACACCAGUGGCGAAGGCGACUCUCUGGUCUGUAACUGACGCUGAGGAGCGAAAGCGUGGGGAGCGAACAGGAUUAGAUACCCUGGUAGUCCACGCCGUAAACGAUGAGUGCUAAGUGUUAGGGGGUUUCCGCCCCUUAGUGCUGCAGCUAACGCAUUAAGCACUCCGCCUGGGGAGUACGGUCGCAAGACUGAAACUCAAAGGAAUUGACGGGGGCCCGCACAAGCGGUGGAGCAUGUGGUUUAAUUCGAAGCAACGCGAAGAACCUUACCAGGUCUUGACAUCCUCUGACAAUCCUAGAGAUAGGACGUCCCCUUCGGGGGCAGAGUGACAGGUGGUGCAUGGUUGUCGUCAGCUCGUGUCGUGAGAUGUUGGGUUAAGUCCCGCAACGAGCGCAACCCUUGAUCUUAGUUGCCAGCAUUCAGUUGGGCACUCUAAGGUGACUGCCGGUGACAAACCGGAGGAAGGUGGGGAUGACGUCAAAUCAUCAUGCCCCUUAUGACCUGGGCUACACACGUGCUACAAUGGACAGAACAAAGGGCAGCGAAACCGCGAGGUUAAGCCAAUCCCACAAAUCUGUUCUCAGUUCGGAUCGCAGUCUGCAACUC
RNAcentral lists this ribosomal RNA (1222 nucleotides) under Bacillus sp. (in: firmicutes). RNAcentral describes it as "bacterial SSU rRNA". It matches the Rfam family "Bacterial small subunit ribosomal RNA", at positions 105 to 1313 of the family's 1533-position model. Lineage: Bacteria; Bacillati; Bacillota; Bacilli; Caryophanales; Bacillaceae. The record is from RNAcentral.